CUACGGGAGGCAGCAGUGGGGGAUAUUGCACAAUGGGGGAAACCCUGAUGCAGCGACGCCGCGUGGGUGAAGAAGCGCCUCGGCGCGUAAAGCCCUGUCAGCAGGGAAGAAAAUGACGGUACCUGAAGAAGAGCCCCGGCUAACUACGUGCCAGCAGCCGCGGUAAUACGUAGGGGGCAAGCGUUAUCCGGAUUUACUGGGUGUAAAGGGGGCGCAGACGGCGAUGCAAGCCAGGAGUGAAAGCCCGGGGCCCAACCCCGGGACUGCUCUUGGAACUGCGUGGCUAGAGGGCAGGAGGGGCAGGG
This 305-nucleotide ribosomal RNA is filed under the name uncultured bacterium. RNAcentral describes it as "bacterial SSU rRNA". It matches the Rfam family "Bacterial small subunit ribosomal RNA", at positions 339 to 662 of the family's 1533-position model. The record is from RNAcentral.